RNAcentral lists this ribosomal RNA (490 nucleotides) under uncultured bacterium. RNAcentral describes it as "partial 16S ribosomal RNA". It matches the Rfam family "Bacterial small subunit ribosomal RNA", at positions 30 to 507 of the family's 1533-position model. The record is from RNAcentral.
AUUGAACGCUGGCGGCAGGCCUAACACAUGCAAGCCGAAUGGUAACAGGAAACAGCUUGCUGUUUCGCUGACGAGUGGCGGACGGGUGAGUAAUGUCUGGGAAACUGCCUGAUGGAGGGGGAUAACUACUGGAAACGGUAGCUAAUACCGCAUAACGUCGCAAGACCAAAGAGGGGGACCUUCGGGCCUCUUGCCAUCAGAUGUGCCCAGAUGGGAUUAGCUAGUAGGUGGGGUAACGGCUCACCUAGGCGACGAUCCCUAGCUGGUCUGAGAGGAUGACCAGCCACACUGGAACUGAGACACGGUCCAGACUCCUACGGGAGGCAGCAGUGGGGAAUAUUGCACAAUGGGCGCAAGCCUGAUGCAGCCAUGCCGCGUGUAUGAAGAAGGCCUUCGGGUUGUAAAGUACUUUCAGCGGGGAGGAAGGGAGUAAAGUUAAUACCUUUGCUCAUUGACGUUACCCGCAGAAGAAGCACCGGCUAACUCCGUG